UCCUGCCUCUCUGCUCCCAGCCGUUAAGAGGCCAGUGUUGAUCAGUGUGUGUCCAGGCCUUUCAGAGCCACUGACACGCCGGCAGCACAAUGAUGAUGUCUCUGACUCUACUGCUGGCCACCCUGGGGCUCCUUGUUCAGGGUUCAUCAGCAGACAUCACCGUGUCUCAGUCUCCUGAAUCUCAGUCUGUUGUUCCAGGUCAGACUGUCUCUAUCAGAUGUAAAACCAGUUCACAUGCUGGCAGUGAGGUAGACUGGUACCUUCAGAAACCUGGAGAAGCUCCUAAACUCCUGAUUUAUCAUGUUACAACUCGUCAGUCUGGAGUUUCAGAUCGUUUCAGUGGCAGUGGAUCUGGAACUGACUUCACUCUGACCAUCAGCAGAGUCCAGACUGAAGAUGCAGGAGUUUAUUACUGUCAGCAGGAUUACAGCUUCCCGCUCACACAGUGAUACAACGUCGUACAAAAACCUCCCUCAGCUGCAGAGGAACUGAUCUGAAUCAACAGCUGCACAAAACUAAACCCACAGACGUUUGCACAAAAGUACAUUUUACAGCAAAGUACAUUAAAAACAUAACACAGUCACAGAGGAAAACAUGUUGGAAAGUCAG
Non-coding RNA from Toxotes jaculatrix (banded archerfish), 609 nucleotides. The record is from the annotation of a RefSeq genome assembly. Lineage: Eukaryota; Metazoa; Chordata; Actinopteri; Toxotidae.